UACAGAGGGUGCGAACGUUGCUCGGAAUUACUGGGCGUAAAGCGCGUGUAGGCGGGACCGCAAGUCAGAUGUGAAAUCCCCGGGCUCAACCCAGGAACUGCAUCUGAAACUGCGGACCUUGAGUACUGGAGAGGGCGGCGGAAUUCCUGGUGUAGAGGUGAAAUUCGUAGAUAUCAGGAGGAACACCGGUGGCGAAGGCGGCCGCCUGGACAGUCACUGACGCUGAGACGCGAAAGCGUGGGGAGCAAACAGG
Molecule: ribosomal RNA, 253 nt
Filed under: uncultured bacterium
Lineage: Bacteria
Also listed under: 1 other name
Description: partial 16S ribosomal RNA
Rfam family: Bacterial small subunit ribosomal RNA
Source: RNAcentral